Molecule: ribosomal RNA, 881 nt
Filed under: Cystolepiota sp.
Lineage: Eukaryota; Fungi; Basidiomycota; Agaricomycetes; Agaricales; Agaricaceae
Description: partial large subunit ribosomal RNA
Rfam family: Eukaryotic large subunit ribosomal RNA
Source: RNAcentral
UUCCCCUAGUAACUGCGAGUGAAGCGGGAAAAGCUCAAAUUUGAAAUCUGGCGGUCUCUGGCCGUCCGAGUUGUAAUCUAGAGAAGUGUUACCCGCGCUGGACCGUGUACAAGUCUCCUGGAAUGGAGCGUCAUAGAGGGUGAGAAUCCCGUCUCUGACACGGACUACCAGGGCUUUGUGGUAUGCUCUCAAAGAGUCGAGUUGUUUGGGAAUGCAGCUCAAAAUGGGUGGUAAAUUCCAUCUAAAGCUAAAUAUUGGCGAGAGACCGAUAGCGAACAAGUACCGUGAGGGAAAGAUGAAAAGAACUUUGGAAAGAGAGUUAAACAGUACGUGAAAUUGCUGAAAGGGAAACGCUUGAAGUCAGUCGCGUUGGCCGGGGAUCAGCCUUGCAUCUGCUUGGUGUAUUUUCCGGUUGACGGGUCAGCAUCAAUUUUGAUCGCUGGAAAAAGGUUAGAGGAAUGUGGCAGCUUCGGCUGUGUUAUAGCCUCUGGUCACAUACAGCGGUUGGGAUUGAGGAACUCAGCACGCCGAAAGGCCGGGUUUCGACCACGUUCGUGCUUAGGAUGCUGGCAUAAUGGCUUUAAGCGACCCGUCUUGAAACACGGACCAAGGAGUCUAACAUGCCUGCGAGUGUUUGGGUGGUAAACCCGAGCGCGUAAUGAAAGUGAAAGUUGAGAUCCCUGUCGUGGGGAGCAUCGACGCCCGGACCAGAACUUUUGGGACGGAUCCGCGGUAGAGCAUGUAUGUUGGGACCCGAAAGAUGGUGAACUAUGCCUGAAUAGGGUGAAGCCAGAGGAAACUCUGGUGGAGGCUCGUAGCGAUUCUGACGUGCAAAUCGAUCGUCAAAUUUGGGUAUAGGGGCGAAAGACUAAUCGAACCAU